AGCAAAGAACUCAUAGCCCGAAUAGUCCCUUCAUAAAUAGUAUAAUUCAACUAUAUAGCUUUGAAUUUAUUAAAUCUUCCUCAUCUAUUAUAUCAGCGGUGACAUAGAUGAUUAAUAUUCACCCUUGCGAAGCAAGAGGACAUGGCUAACAACAAUAUAUCAUACUACUACUAUCAAUUUGGUGUCAUUGCCUCCGCGUAGUGACAACAAUGGCCAACAUCGGUACAAAUGCAUCUCUGGGGAUUCCAACCAUGAGAGGCACAUUGCCACAAGCACCCAUUAACUGAGCAAGCUUUUUUCAUCUUUACACACCCAAGAAUAGGUCCAAGGUCCAUUGUACCUGCAAAUCAGACACAACAUCAGGACGCAGUUAGAACUGAUGUACUGUUUGAUUUAAACAAAAUAGAAGAGACAGACCAACAAAAUAAACUAAUGAAUACGUAGGAGAAAAUAUUUAUGUAUGCUCCUACAUACCUUCUGCAUGGCAAGACAAGAAAGUGCUGGAAAUGACAAUAAGAGCAAGCAAGCACAAUGCCCUUGUGUUCUUCAUAAGACCAAUCACUAGUAGUUGGCUAUUAU
RNAcentral lists this long non-coding RNA (579 nucleotides) under Triticum aestivum (bread wheat). RNAcentral's name for it is "long non-coding RNA (TAES_LNC018808)". Lineage: Eukaryota; Viridiplantae; Streptophyta; Magnoliopsida; Poales; Poaceae. The record is from RNAcentral.